Molecule: ribosomal RNA, 492 nt
Filed under: uncultured bacterium
Lineage: Bacteria
Description: partial 16S ribosomal RNA
Rfam family: Bacterial small subunit ribosomal RNA
Source: RNAcentral
AGUGAACGCUGGCGGUAGGCCUAACACAUGCAAGUCGAACGGCAGCACAGUAAGAGCUUGCUCUUACGGGUGGCGAGUGGCGGACGGGUGAGGAAUACAUCGGAAUCUACUUUUUCGUGGGGGAUAACGUAGGGAAACUUACGCUAAUACCGCAUACGACCUACGGGUGAAAGCAUGGGAUCUUCGGACCUUGCGCGAUUGAAUGAGCCGAUGUCGGAUUAGCUAGUUGGCGGGGUAAAGGCCCACCAAGGCGACGAUCCGUAGCUGGUCUGAGAGGAUGAUCAGCCACACUGGAACUGAGACACGGUCCAGACUCCUACGGGAGGCAGCAGUUGGGAAUAUUGGACAAUGGGCGCAAGCCUGAUCCAGCCAUACCGCGUGGGUGAAGAAGGCCUUCGGGUUGUAAAGCCCUUUUGUUGGGAAAGAAAAGCAGCAGGUUAAUACCCCGCUGUUCUGACGGUACCCAAAGAAUAAGCACCGGCUAACUUCGUG